Long non-coding RNA from Saccostrea cuccullata (small rock oyster), 1412 nucleotides. RefSeq lists it as uncharacterized. The transcript is spliced from 6 exons. Lineage: Eukaryota; Metazoa; Mollusca; Bivalvia; Ostreida; Ostreidae. The record is from RefSeq and is a predicted model, not a curated record.
CAUUAUUUUUCCUCCCAUAGUGGCUGUGUCUGUCCCUUUUUCUCGACUGCUAACACUAAUCCAGAUAGACCAUAGAAUUUUCCUUCAACAUAAAGUUGACGCAACACUGUAAAGUCGGAUGGAAGAAUAUUAGGAAACGCUUCUGGGGACCUUAGAUAGUCAAGCACGAAAUCAAAGUAUCUGGGAUUCCUGUCAAUGAAAUAGGUUUCGUUGGAUGGCUUGAUGGGUGAAUUUAUGUUGGUCAUUGCUGCCAGUAAUGAUGAUGGGUCGCUUGACAGUGUUCUUCUACUUGUUUCAAACUUUCUCCCCCCCACAUUCAGUAUUACGUGACCGUCUUGUUGUUCUUUGACUAUGUUAAGUUUAACUUCCAUCUGGUUAGUCGGGGUAUAUGUAGGUGUUUCAUUAGAUUCCUGAACUUCAUAACUUUCUUCUUCUGGGGCAUUUAUCGAAAGGACAUCUUUGAUGGGAUUUUCUGAUUUCUUUGUAGAUGAGGACGAGUCCGAAUUUGAAGUUGAAGAUGAGGAUGAGGAUGAUGAUGAUGAUACCGAAGAUACGACUGACUUGGAUUUGGUCAGGUCUCCCAAGUACCAGAUCAAUAGGGAGUGCAACUUGUCGACCAAAGACCAUCUCAUUUGGGCUCACCCCUGUGGAUUCAUGUACUGAGGAUCUAUACGCCAACAUGAGUAAAGGGAUGGCGUCAACCCAUUUUGUAAAGUAGUCUCCUACAACUAGUAGAUGUCCCCCAGUGAUGCCACUGUGGAUUUCUUCCAAAACUUCUUUGGCAAAUGAACUGGGAAGAAUUACUUGCAAUUUUGGGGUAACAUGUUCCCAUUUAUGAUAAAGAAUGUUAUCUUGCCAUUUGAGGGAAUCGAAUCUAACCCAGUAGUAUUUGUAUAUUUCACUCAAAUUUGAUAUAGCCUCCCAGGAUCUUGAGAAUUAGAUGGUAAAGAACUUUCAUGAUUUCCAGAGCGAGUGACAACCUGGCAUGAUUCAGACUGAUGGGUCACUGAUGCCUGUUUGGGAGAAGAUAAAACAUGGUCAUCUCUGGAUAACCUGGGUGAUCCCAUACAAGAUCUGGGAUUAAAAACUAUUUCUCCAGAGUCUUCCAGGUUGCUGUUAUUUUGGGACAUUUUUUUUUUUAAAUCUUUUACAAAAAAUGUUCAAAUUGGGUAAAAUAAAAUUUUAUAAAUCUUAAAAUAUUUGUUUCCUAAUUUCUAUCCAAUCAAAGUAUGGGAUUCUAAAUUAUAAUGAUCCCACUUCUGACACCAAUGUUACGUUUUCGACCCUUUUUACUGUGUUUUGGGUAAACGCAACUGUGGGUCUCCCAAGUCUGUAUAUCAGAUAGAAAUUAUAAUACCAAAUAACUUUUUAUAUAAAACUUUAUUAAAAUAAAUUAAUUUGUCAAGGAUGAG